CAUACUAAGUCUAUUUGUAUUGCAAAAAUAUUUAUAUUUAACUCAUUUCUCUAAAUGAGACUAUAGAGAUUUUUGCUAUGCAUUAGGCUGGAGCCGUCA
This 99-nucleotide microRNA precursor is filed under the name Schmidtea mediterranea. RNAcentral's name for it is "microRNA sme-mir-2179 precursor". Lineage: Eukaryota; Metazoa; Platyhelminthes; Tricladida; Dugesiidae. The record is from miRBase by way of RNAcentral.